GAGCCGUUGGAUGACUGAAUACAAAGCCACAAACAAACCCUACAAAACCCUAAUUUUUCACCAUCCAUCUUUUCAGACUGCUUCUGAUUCUCAAGACUCCUAUCUUCUCCACUGAUCACAGGGGCCACUCUCGGUGAGUAGAAGCUAUUUUCCGUUUGGUUCCUUAGAAAAUAGGGUAGGAAAUGCAUAAUUUUGGAUUAUAUUACGGUUUAUGUGGGUUUGUUUUGGUUCCUACUCGAAUGAAGUUGGUGGAAGUGAUUGUUUCUUGUUGAUUUCCGAGAAAAUAGAACAGCAGUUGAAAGACUUUUGAUCUUGUUACGUUUUAUGCUGUUCUGGUUUGGUUCCUAAACGAAUGAAAAUGUUCAUUUAAACCGAGAGAUUUCAG
This 385-nucleotide long non-coding RNA is filed under the name Vitis vinifera (wine grape). RNAcentral describes it as "long non-coding RNA (VVIN_LNC008223)". The record is from RNAcentral. Lineage: Eukaryota; Viridiplantae; Streptophyta; Magnoliopsida; Vitales; Vitaceae.